UAGCUAGUUGGUGAGGUAAAGGCUUACCAAGGCGACGAUCUGUAGCGGGUCUGAGAGGAUGAUCCGCCACACUGGAACUGAGACACGGUCCAGACUCCUACGGGAGGCAGCAGUGGGGAAUUUUGGACAAUGGGGGCAACCCUGAUCCAGCCAUGCCGCGUGAGUGAAGAAGGCCUUCGGGUUGUAAAGCUCUUUCGGCCGGGAAGAAAUCGCAUGGGCCAAUACCCUGUGUGGAUGACGGUACCGGAAUAAGAAGCACCGGCUAACUACGUGCCAGCAGCCGCGGUAAUACGUAGGGUGCGAGCGUUAAUCGGAAUUACUGGGCGUAAAGCGUGCGCAGGCGGUUUUGUAAGACAGGCGUGAAAUCCCCGGGCUUAACCUGGGAACUGCGUUUGUGACUGCAAGGCUAGAGUACGGCAGAGGGGGGUGGAAUUCCACGUGUAGCAGUGAAAUGCGUAGAGAUGUGGAGGAACACCAAUGGCGAAGGCAGCCCCCUGGGUCGAUACUGACGCUCAUGCACGAAAGCGUGGGUAGCAAACAGGAUUAGAUACCCUGGUAGUCCACGCCCUAAACUAUGUCAACUAGGUGUUGGGUGGGUAAAACCAUUUAGUACCGUAGCUAACGCGUGUAGUUGACCGCCUGGGGAGUACGGCCGCAAGGUUAAAACUCAAAGGAAUUGACGGGGACCCGCACAAGCGGUGGAUGAUGUGGAUUAAUUCGAUACAACGCGAAAAAACCUUACCUACCCUUGACAUGCCAGGAACUUGCCAGAGAUGGCUUGGUGCCCGAAAGGGAGCCUGGACACAGGUGCUGCAUGGCUGUCGUCAGCUCGUGUCGUGAGAUGUUGGGUUAAGUCCCGCAACGAGCGCAACCCUUGUCGUUAAUUGCCAUCAUUUAGUUGGGCACUUUAACGAGACUGCCGGUGACAAACCGGAGGAAGGUGGGGAUGACGUCAAGUCCUCAUGGCCCUUAUGGGUAGGGCUUCACACGUCAUACAAUGGUCGGUACAAAGGGUUGCCAAGCCGCGAGGCGGAGCCAAUCCCAGAAAGCCGAUCGUAGUCCGGAUUGCAGGCUGCAACUCGCCUGCAUGAAGUCGGAAUCGCUAGUAAUCGUGGAUCAGCAUGUCACGGUGAAUACGUUCCCGGGUCUUGUACACACCGCCCGUCACACCAUGGGAGCGGGUUCCGCCAGAAGUAGGUAGCCUAACCGCAAGGGGGGCGCUUACCACGGCGGGGUUCGUGACUGGGGUGAAGUCGGAACAAGGUAGCCGUAGGGGAACCUGCGGCUG
Molecule: ribosomal RNA, 1288 nt
Filed under: metagenome
Description: bacterial SSU rRNA
Rfam family: Bacterial small subunit ribosomal RNA
Source: RNAcentral